AUACUUACCUGGCAGGGGAGAUACCAUGAUCACGAAGGUGGUUUUCCCAGGGCGAGGCUUACCCAUUGCACGCUGGGUGUGCUGACCCCUGCGAUUUCCCCAAAUGUGAGAAACUCGACUGCAUAAUUUAGACGACGACAUGGGGUUUGGCUUGUUCGACU
RNAcentral lists this small nuclear RNA (161 nucleotides) under Carlito syrichta (Philippine tarsier). Its description in RNAcentral is "U1 spliceosomal RNA (ENSTSYG00000021658.2)". The stretch from base 1 to 133 matches the Rfam family "U1 spliceosomal RNA". From Rfam's summary of the family: U1 is a small nuclear RNA (snRNA) component of the spliceosome (involved in pre-mRNA splicing). Its 5' end forms complementary base pairs with the 5' splice junction, thus defining the 5' donor site of an intron. Lineage: Eukaryota; Metazoa; Chordata; Mammalia; Primates; Tarsiidae. The record is from Rfam by way of RNAcentral.